ACCAUCUUUGUAUGUUGGUAAAAUGAGUCCUACGGAGGCCAUCCUAUAAUGUUCAGCUACUUCUGGUGUCUGUGUGUGGAACUCUGUCUUGUUAGCAUGUGAAGAUAGUCAGAAUACUUAAUUUUCAGGAGUCGAGUAUUCCCCUACUCCUGAUUGAAGCGGGAAGCAGAGGAAAGCCAGAAUAAGACAAGGAAACGUUGUGGGAUGGCUGGCCAUCCCUGAAGAUGAACCUUGCCAGGAUGGAAAGCAAGAAACAUUAGGUUUAGCAACACUGGAGUGUGGCCAGAAUGGAAAAAAGUUAUUAACGAAGGAGAACACACAAGCUAGGAAAGUCUGUAGAAGUUUCCUUUUGGCUGAGCCUAGUGGGAUUCUGUCGCUGCAUCUCCUCUUCUGAGCUUUGGGGAGAGCAAGGGAUCUCUUGGCUUUCAGAUACUGAAGUUUUCCCUGAUUUAAAAGUAAUACAGAGAGAGCAGAGGAAAGGAUUCCCCAUUUAAUGGUUCCAAACACCGCCAACAAUAGGUGAAAACCUAAAGAGAGAAAUAUGUGUGAUGGGAAGACAGAACUUGAAUCAGGACAAUUGGAAAUUUAACAGUAUGAUUCCCGUGGCUAGACAAACGGUCCCCAACACUUCUCAAAGUCCUUGUGAUGAGGUCCUUCAUGUAAAAUGAGGUAAAAUGGGAGAAGACUCAGCUAUGACCUCUCUUUGUCAUGUUCCAGAGCAAUACUAUUGGUGUUUUAGAAGAAUGGUACUAAAUGUUGUGGUGUAAGCAGUGCUGGAGCAAUUCCCACACAGCCAAAGUUAUCAUCAGAAGGGAACCUCGGUUUCAUCUCCCAAUUCAUAAACUGAUUUAAGUCUUGGCUUAUUUCUCAAAGUAGUUUUAAGAGCCUUCAAUGGGAGCAGCGGACAGUGAAUGAUUGCAUCACUGAGGACCUGCCAAGGACCUUUCCACCUUGUUUUGGAUAUCCUUUGCUGAGAACAUGUUCCUUCUCAUCAAAUGAAAAGAUACUGGAAUAAGAAGAAGCAACACCAGUCUUUGGUCACCUUGACCAAGGAGAAGCAGUCUUUGGCCACCUUUUUUGUAUGGCUUCUGUCUAUUGGACAAGGGGGGCAGGUCUGUGAGAUAUGGCAAAAGCAAUGCAAGGAGGUGAGCCUGGUCAAAGAGCUGGCCUCCUAAAAACAUUGUGCCCAAGAAUCCUCAAAACCCCUCAGUGUUGGGUUAGGCACGGAAGAAUAUAAAGACUGUCAUACCCUAUAUACAACACAAAGGGUUAUUUAGAUUGCCAGGUAUAAAAACUCAAUUUGCAUUACAAAA
Anolis carolinensis (green anole) is the source of this 1313-nucleotide long non-coding RNA. RefSeq lists it as uncharacterized. The transcript has 3 exons. The record is from RefSeq and is a predicted model, not a curated record. NCBI's taxonomy places the organism in Eukaryota, Metazoa, Chordata, Lepidosauria, Squamata, Anolidae.